AAAAAGGUAAGCUAAAAUAAGCUAAUGGGUUCAUACCUCAUUUAUAAAGGUACAAGUCCUUUCCUCUUUA
Molecule: transfer RNA, 70 nt
Filed under: Scolytinae sp. BMNH 1043123
Lineage: Eukaryota; Metazoa; Arthropoda; Insecta; Coleoptera; Curculionidae
Description: tRNA-Met
Rfam family: tRNA
About the family: Transfer RNA (tRNA) molecules are approximately 80 nucleotides in length. Their secondary structure includes four short double-helical elements and three loops (D, anti-codon, and T loops).
Source: RNAcentral